Molecule: long non-coding RNA, 327 nt
Filed under: Panax ginseng (ginseng)
Lineage: Eukaryota; Viridiplantae; Streptophyta; Magnoliopsida; Apiales; Araliaceae
Description: long non-coding RNA (PGIN_LNC005377)
Source: RNAcentral
GAUGCUACUGAUGAUGAUGAGAAUGAGGAGUUGAUAAAUAUAAGAAAAUGAAAGGGACUGAUAAAAAAAUCAAGAGGACAAGAGUUGGUUUUGGAUUGUGAAGUAAAACUUGAUGAAGAUCAAGUUGAUAUUGGUCACUUACAUGUUGAGGAUGUUGGGGCUUCAUCUAUCCCAAGAAAGCAACCAAAAGUUGAACCUGGUACACAAGAGAGCAAUAGCAGGGGGAAAAAGCAGGCAUCUAGAAAAACUAAGGCUGCAGAGGUAGAAGUUGAACCAACAUUUUCAGAUGGGGAGGAUGAGUUGGGGUUUGGGACAAAAGGAAUGAGG